UGGUAAGAAAGCAGUAUGAAACUAAUAGAAUCUUCAUUUAUUGAAUGUAAAUUGUUUUCCCUUUUUUUUUCUUGGUCAGAUAUAAAAGCACCUGGAGGCUUUUGAAUUAUGAAGGUGAAAAUUUUCUUAAGUUAGCUGUUAGCAUUACUAAGAGAUUUUAAAGUUUUGACUCUCAUCAAGAUAUCUAAUAAAUUCACGUAGGUUCUUAGGAGGUAAAACAGUCUAUGUUCUUGAAAUUUUUGUCUUAAAAAUUCCAUAUUAGAAACUGAUACCCAGGGAAUGAAUUAAUUUGUGUAAUGUAAUACUUGUAACACAGAUUUCUGUAUGUUGCCCUGUUUUAUGUACAGUGACUGCAGUAGGUACUCUCAGAAUGAUUAAUGGGGGAAACAUUUUACAAAAAUGUCUCACCAGGUGUUUUUAUUUAUUUUUCGUAAUUACUUUUCAUAUGAGAUUUAAAACGUACCAUGUACAUGUUUAGCUUUAUGGACGGGAUCUCCCCCUCAUUUGCUUUUCUUUUUUUUUUUUUAAAACAAGUCUGCACCAGCAUCACCUGAGUAAUUUGGCAUUCAGACACCAACUUUAACCUCCUGAUUCCUGGAAGCCUAAAUAUCUUAAGAAUUAUGGAAGGAUGCUCAUAGCCCAGUUAAAUUCCUAGUUUCUUUUAGUUUAGUAAGGAUUUGUUGACUCUAGUUGGUGUUUGUGAUGCUGGGUUCACAGGUUGAUUCCAGCCCUCAAGGAGCUCACCAUCUAUUAGAGGAAACAUUUGCCCUUGUAUGUCUCACCAUGCCUUGAGUCGAAUUAUGAUAAAUGCCAUCCUGCCAGUUGAGUUCAGUUCCUGGGUUUUAAGAUGUGCCAAGAGCACUGUCACACAUUGGGUCUGCAAAAAAUGAGUAAAACAUGAUCCCUGGUCUUCAGUAGCUUACAGUCUGUACUCACAGAUGUAAACAGAUAUCACGGCGUGGUACAGGGAGUAUUAAAUGAGAGCUAUGCACGCUUGCUCUGUGGGCCUGCUGGAGAAAGGCAUAGAGCACUGCCCGAGAGUGUGAACAGAAAUGUUUUCUUUAGGAGGUGGCACGUGGGCUGGAUUUUGAAGGUUAGUUGAGAAAUAGCCCAAGCCUUGGAGGAGGGUAGAACCAAUAGCUUAUAGGAAAACUGGAGAAAAUUUCUUUAUAUCCUGAAAAGAGGGACAGAGGGAGAAAAGGGCACAUGUAUGUGGGAGGAGCUAGAUCAUUCUAAUGUUUUCAAAUCAAAGUGGGAGAGUUAGAAAGGUGGGAUUGGAGAAGGGCGCUUGGGAACACCUCGUAGAGGGGCAUUCAUUUUUGCUUUUAAGGUAGCUUCACAGUAAAUGUCAUUGUGGAGAAAAUAUUUGAGAAGGGCAUAGUUGGUGGCAGAAAGAUUGUUGCAACAGAUUGGGAGCCUGCAGUAGAACAGUUCUAUGGAGGUAGAGAGUGGUGUCAGAUUUGAGAAAUAUAGGAAGUUUGGAAAGCUGUGUGAUUGGCUGAAUGAUGGAAAACUCCAUAGAACAGAGAGAAGAGAACAGUUCUUCCUGGAGGUGGUCAGAUGUCUUCUGUAGAAGUGGUAGAGUUUCCCCAAGCAGAGCAGAAUGGGGAGUGCAUCCCAUGCCGUGGCAGUUGCGUGUCAGAGUUGUGGAGGUGAGGAGGGUUUGGCAGUGUGGGUGGAGGACAGGAGUUCUGAAGACUGUGGGAGGGGAAGGUUGUCUGGGACUCCCUUGAAAAGAGCUUCAGUGUCAUGCUCCUCUAGCUGGUGGAGAACUGUCUAAUAUUUUUUAAUUUGGUGAGUGAUGUGAACUUACCUGUAUCUGUGCUUUAAUAAUUCUGGUAACUGAGCAGAGUAGAUUGGAGAGGACAUUGCAGGGACUUAGGAGCUGAUGAUAGUAGUACAGGUAAGAGGUGAGGAGCUGGUUUUUUGCUGUGACACUGGGAAUGGACGGUUUAGCUUUUUGGGGAAGUUGGGAAAUAGAGUUGACAGGAUAUGUUUAUUAAUGUAUGAAAGGAGGAAGUCAGAGACAAAGAUGUCGUGAGAUUUCUAGGUUGGGAGAUAAAGGGAACCAUGAUAGAUUUAGGAAGAGGAAAGAGGAUGGAUUGUUGUAGGUGUGGGGAAAGAGGUGAUGUGUUUCUAGGUACACUGAGAUGGUGUUGAUUGCUUUAUAUCUCUCUAAAUAUUACCGUACUUACACAAGUCUUACCUUGCUUAGUGUUCUAUAAAUAUUGAAUCUCUGUGUUGGGUUCAGAGGCCUCAACCUGGAAAAAGUUCUGGGACAGGUAAGUGAUGUUCGCUAUGGUCAAAGGAAUGAGAGUUGGUAGCAUAUAGCACUUAGUGCCUGAUGUUUGCUAAGUACUGUUCUAGGUACGGGGGACAGGUAAGUGAUGUUCGCUAUGGUCAAAGGAAUGAGAGUUGGUAGCAUAUAGCACUUAGUGCCUGAUGUUUGCUAAGUACUGUUCUAGGUACGGGGAUACAACGGAGAACAAAACAAGUUAA
Cervus elaphus (red deer) is the source of this 2499-nucleotide long non-coding RNA. RefSeq lists it as uncharacterized. The transcript is spliced from 2 exons. The record is from RefSeq and is a predicted model, not a curated record. Lineage: Eukaryota; Metazoa; Chordata; Mammalia; Artiodactyla; Cervidae.